UUAAACCACACCCUGAAAAUUCUGGAGGCCACGCUUAGAGGCACUAACUGCACAACAGUCUCAUGGCCCACUGUCACAUCACGGGCAGCAAGUUCAGUGCACCUGCUCUGGAUUCCUGGCAGAAGAAUCUAAGGACGCAGAACAAGCAUGUAGUGACCUGGCCACCUCCAAAAUCCUGGAGAGCUCUUCUGAAUGGCUGAUUCAUCACAGCUUCUGCUGCCUGGUAAGAUCUGCAGUUUUCUAUUGUUUACCCUGUCUUGCUAACUAGCUUGAAGACCUCUAAGGGCACAAAUUGUCUCAUACUGGUUU
This 309-nucleotide long non-coding RNA is filed under the name Canis lupus familiaris (dog). Its description in RNAcentral is "lncRNA (ENSCAFG00805024797.1, ENSCAFG00845024011.1)". Lineage: Eukaryota; Metazoa; Chordata; Mammalia; Carnivora; Canidae. The record is from RNAcentral.